Ictalurus punctatus (channel catfish) is the source of this 1428-nucleotide long non-coding RNA. The record is from Ensembl. Lineage: Eukaryota; Metazoa; Chordata; Actinopteri; Siluriformes; Ictaluridae.
UCCUGACCGGAAGAUGUCGUUACAGCUUUCCCUCCGACCGCUACAGAGCACUGACACUGGAGACUCCUUCCGUAAACAUAGCCCUGCACCCAUGUAUAGACCUGAUACGGUUAUUAUACCACUCAGGCGACUCAGCCUGGGGUCCAAGUGGUCCACAGCGGCGGGACUCAGAUGGUAAUCCAGCCCCUAGGCAGACAAUGGUGGUCGGCGGGGCACACACACCAUAAUCCAGCCUGCUGCUCCACCUACUAUGAUUAUCCAGCGGGCAAAUCCGACUGUUCGAGUCGUCCAGCCGCAGGUUCUGCCUACAGUGAUCCAGCGACCUGCAGCCAAUACCGUGGUUUAUCGCCGUUAUUACUGAAGUCAUGCGAGUGAACCCUUCCAGGACGACACGGACGACGCUCCAGUGAAGACUCCAGCGGGAUUUUACGCCAUGUUGAAAAUUCCUCCCGUAUUCAUUAUCGAGUCCUUAAUCAGAUCGUAAAAUAAGCGCAGAGUUACGCUCGGACAUCAGCUCUCCUCGUCCACUCGGACUCCUCGUCCGUCCUCGCCGAGAUUCUUUUUCUUCUUCCCUUUUGUGUAUCCGUGGUGAUUAGAUUAGUAAAUCCUUAUGUUAUUGGUGUAUUACCACAAACCCUACAGCGCGGUACGAGCCAGGUGUGCACAAACGGUACUCGUGUAAUAAUGUAAUAAAGUAAUGAAGUCAUACGUUUUGAUGAAUAAGGGACAGCAACGAGUACGGCUGUAUAUCAGGUCAGGUAUGAGAUUAAGAUCAUCGCGAUGCGAUUCAUGGUUUCUGGGUAAGGUUUUCUCAUCGAGGUGUCAGCAGCCUUCCAAACGAGGCUUUUGGGGUUUUUUUUUCUUUUCUUUUCUUUAAUGGUAUGAAACGCUCCAGAGUGAGAACGUGCACACUGCAAAGGAGGUGCAUGAUUGUAAGGGGAGGGUGGGUGUGGCGGGGGGGGCAUCCAUUUCCACGGUGUUCAUUAAUCACCUAUCAAUAUAACAUCACAAUAAAAUCUGAUUAAAUCACACUUUCUCCUGUAUCAACACAAGCCUGUUCACUUACUGACUAAAGACGCUCAUAAACCACUUUGUCAAUGUCACACACGGCUUAAGAAAGUGUCAUAAAGUCUAUUAUAAUGCAGUCUAUUAGCACUUUAUAAAUAUGUUUCCUUUUAAAUAAUCAUAGCAGUGUGUCGAACACCUUACGAAUGCACUGUAAACGUGUUACGCAGGUACUUGUGGGUCAUGACAUCUUUGGCCUCUGUAGAAAGUGUUACAUGUGUAUUACAUGUGUAUUUUUUUUUGUUUUCCCAUCGUCUUAACCCUCGUGUUUUAUUUAGACGACGUUUUACUCGCCGUCGGGUGUCGCGGAGACCUCAGUCGCUCGUGUCUGACGUUAUAAUAAACGUUCUAUUGAAUCACGAA